RNAcentral lists this ribosomal RNA (2109 nucleotides) under Salmonella enterica. Its description in RNAcentral is "partial 23S ribosomal RNA". It matches the Rfam family "Bacterial large subunit ribosomal RNA", at positions 630 to 2638 of the family's 2925-position model. Lineage: Bacteria; Pseudomonadati; Pseudomonadota; Gammaproteobacteria; Enterobacterales; Enterobacteriaceae. The record is from RNAcentral.
AUAUUCUGUAGCAAGGUUAACCGUAUAGGGGAGCCGGAGGGAAACCGAGUCUUAAUUGGGCGUUAAGUUGCAGGGUAUAGACCCGAAACCCGGUGAUCUAGCCAUGGGCAGGUUGAAGGUUGGGUAACACUAACUGGAGGACCGAACCGACUAAUGUUGAAAAAUUAGCGGAUGACCUGUGGCUGGGGGUGAAAGGCCAAUCAAACCGGGAGAUAGCUGGUUCUCCCCGAAAGCUAUUUAGGUAGCGCCUCGUGAAUUCAUCUCCGGGGGUAGAGCACUGUUUCGGCUAGGGGGCCAUCCCGGCUUACCAACCCGAUGCAAACUGCGAAUACCGGAGAAUGUUAUCACGGGAGACACACGGCGGGUGCUAACGUCCGUCGUGAAGAGGGAAACAACCCAGACCGCCAGCUAAGGUCCCAAAGUCAUGGUUAAGUGGGAAACGAUGUGGGAAGGCCCAGACAGCCAGGAUGUUGGCUUAGAAGCAGCCAUCAUUUAAAGAAAGCGUAAUAGCUCACUGGUCGAGUCGGCCUGCGCGGAAGAUGUAACGGGGCUAAACCAUGCACCGAAGCUGCGGCAGCGAACGUAUCACCCAAGACAACUUUACGGAGUUGACGAUUGACGGAGCGAAGCGACGUCAAAGCGUUCAUUAAAGUCGAGUUGGCUUAGGGAUACGUUCGUUGGGUAGGGGAGCGUUCUGUAAGCCUGUGAAGGUGUGUCGUGAGGCAUGCUGGAGGUAUCAGAAGUGCGAAUGCUGACAUAAGUAACGAUAAAGCGGGUGAAAAGCCCGCUCGCCGGAAGACCAAGGGUUCCUGUCCAACGUUAAUCGGGGCAGGGUGAGUCGACCCCUAAGGCGAGGCCGAAAGGCGUAGUCGAUGGGAAACGGGUUAAUAUUCCCGUACUUGGUGUUACUGCGAAGGGGGGACGGAGAAGGCUAUGUUGGCCGGGCGACGGUUGUCCCGGUUUAAGCGUGUAGGUGUGUGUUCCAGGUAAAUCCGGUUCACUUUAACACUGAGGCGUGACGACGAGGCACUGCGGUGCUGAAGCAACAAAUGCCCUGCUUCCAGGAAAAGCCUCUAAGCAUCAGGUAACACGAAAUCGUACCCCAAACCGACACAGGUGGUCAGGUAGAGAAUACCAAGGCGCUUGAGAGAACUCGGGUGAAGGAACUAGGCAAAAUGGUGCCGUAACUUCGGGAGAAGGCACGCUGACACGUAGGUGAAGUGAUUUACUCAUGGAGCUGAAGUCAGUCGAAGAUACCAGCUGGCUGCAACUGUUUAUUAAAAACACAGCACUGUGCAAACACGAAAGUGGACGUAUACGGUGUGACGCCUGCCCGGUGCCGGAAGGUUAAUUGAUGGGGUCAGCGUAAGCGAAGCUCCUGAUCGAAGCCCCGGUAAACGGCGGCCGUAACUAUAACGGUCCUAAGGUAGCGAAAUUCCUUGUCGGGUAAGUUCCGACCUGCACGAAUGGCGUAAUGAUGGCCAGGCUGUCUCCACCCGAGACUCAGUGAAAUUGAACUCGCUGUGAAGAUGCAGUGUACCCGCGGCAAGACGGAAAGACCCCGUGAACCUUUACUAUAGCUUGACACUGAACAUUGAGCCUUGAUGUGUAGGAUAGGUGGGAGGCUUUGAAGUGUGGACGCCAGUCUGCAUGGAGCCGACCUUGAAAUACCACCCUUUAAUGUUUGAUGUUCUAACGUGGACCCGUAAUCCGGGUUGCGGACAGUGUCUGGUGGGUAGUUUGACUGGGGCGGUCUCCUCCUAAAGAGUAACGGAGGAGCACGAAGGUUGGCUAAUCCUGGUCGGACAUCAGGAGGUUAGUGCAAUGGCAUAAGCCAGCUUGACUGCGAGCGUGACGGCGCGAGCAGGUGCGAAAGCAGGUCAUAGUGAUCCGGUGGUUCUGAAUGGAAGGGCCAUCGCUCAACGGAUAAAAGGUACUCCGGGGAUAACAGGCUGAUACCGCCCAAGAGUUCAUAUCGACGGCGGUGUUUGGCACCUCGAUGUCGGCUCAUCACAUCCUGGGGCUGAAGUAGGUCCCAAGGGUAUGGCUGUUCGCCAUUUAAAGUGGUACGCGAGCUGGGUUUAGAACGUCGUGAGACAGUUCGGUCCC